Lagopus muta (rock ptarmigan) is the source of this 3287-nucleotide long non-coding RNA. RefSeq lists it as uncharacterized. The record is from RefSeq and is a predicted model, not a curated record. NCBI's taxonomy places the organism in Eukaryota, Metazoa, Chordata, Aves, Galliformes, Phasianidae. The transcript has 6 exons.
GUUCAGCUUUGUGGGCUAUCCCUACACUCUUUAUUUGCAUUUUGGGUUUGGAGCACAUGUAAAAGUUUCUGCUUGCUUGAAGGUGGCUCAGGAUCUCACUAACUGAACGAGCAGUGCAACUGUAGAGAGAACUUUACGUGAAGGCAAAGUACAAAACCCUAACAAAGAACUGGACAGGAGCUGGUCUGCUGAGAAACUGGUGAGGUGUUUCCAGCCUGUGUGCCAGGAGUGCAGAACUCAGUUUGCUACAACUCUCACCUCAAUGGUAGAAGCUUCACUUACAAAUGCUGUGCUACAGAGGAAGACUGCUCUUGCCACAUCCACCUGUCAAUACAUGUGUCCUGGAAAGCCAGACUCAGUUCUGAACGCUGUGGAAGCGCAGAUUAAAUGUGCAGCACUUAGAAUUGCUGGAUUUCGUGUGUGAAGGAACAGUCUGGCACACAGUUGAAUUCCUGGUGGGGUAUCGCUAGUGUGAAGUCUCUGCUCCUGGCUGAACAGGCACAGUGGCUUCGUCUGUCCUGUUAGAAGCCGUUCAUCACUUUAAUAUGUGAAUCUGAAGAUUCCAUUAGAAUCAUCAGAUUUUGCCAGUACUUCACAAUGAAGAGCUGCAAACUCGCCGAGUGCCUCUGAUGGGUCAUAUGAGGCUUUGACACUUGUGCUGCUACUUUGGCCUUGGAGACUUCUGACACAGCCCACUUUCCUGAGCAGAGACCUGUUUGCAGGGCCUUGGCAGGGUUUGAAAGGCAUUGCUUCUGCUCCUGUGUUGCAGGUUCAGCCUGGGUUUCAAGAGGAUGCAAGAGGCUUCAAGAGGCUUCGUGGUUUCCUGAAGGGAAAGUGACAGGUGCCACAUUUCUUUGUGCAAGUCUGUAACUGUGUCAUGGCAUUCCAGUACUUACCCCAAGAUGAGUGAUGAUUGUACUAAUUAAGAACUGAAGUGGAAGGAUAUGAGAAGGAUGCAGUAUGGGGUGUUUUCUAAUAAAACUGAACUACUUUGGCAGCAGCUGAUGCUGCUUUUCUCACGGCAGCCUUUAUUUCCCUUGUAAAACCUAGAACAUUCUUUCAAAACCAGCUCUGGUGCUGGGAGGAGCACUUGAAGUUAAGGCUUGCUCUGCACUGCAUUUUGCUCUCUGUAUCCUGCAGAAAUAGAAGCUUGGGCUUUCUAGACUCCUGUCCUUUGUUCCUCUGUGGUUUGCUGCAUGCUUUUGAAUCUGUUACCUUGUUGUAACUGUAUUUACUGGGCGUCAGAGUGCACUGUUACAGCAUCUUAUGCACAUGCAUGUAAAGAAGUAGGGGAACAUCAGCUGCACUCAACAGCUGCUUGGAUCUCUACUCUCUGCAGACUGGCAUUAAGUGACCACAUUUUCCUGCAUGUGUCAGACUGUGUACGGGUCUUCUGCUCCAGUUUUAGCCAUAAAGAAAAGCUUAUCUACAGGAACACAUGAGCCCUGUUGCUGCUGGGUGGUUGGCAGCAGCAUUCCUGAACCUCAGUGCUGCAGUUUUUCUUACAGUGGUGACACCUCUUAUUUAUUCCAAGAAACUAUUUAUUCACCUCUGCAACAGAGCUACAGCUGUGCUGUUACACCCCAGGUGUACUUUGCUCAUAUUUACAUAACCCAUCAUUAACUCAUCUACUGAAUGAACCCUGAUUUGAACAUUGAGCACCAUGCAGCUCACCUCCUCCUCCUACUAGGAGUUGAAUGGAGGUGUUUAUUAGUCCUAUCUUGCUUGUCCUCCUAGAAGUAACUCAUUCUGAAGAGCUUCCUCAGGGAUGGUUUUGGAGCCUGCAUCAUUUAUUCUUUUGCCACUGUUUCCCAUGCAAAUUUGCAGUAUUUUUAGGAAGUCCAAGCUGAAUUGAUUCCCCCAGGUUUGCCAACAGAUCAGUAAUUGCUUUGGGGGAGGGUUGCUAUUCACGGGGUCAGAAAACAUUCCUCUGUUUUAAGUGAAGGAAUAUAAAAUUAACGAGGCUGCACCCACUGGGAAAGUGACAUGCCUGUUUGUUUUAUUAACAGCAGACACAGUUUUAUUAGAAAAAAUCAAAGUGGAAAAAGAUCUGCUGGGACAAACACACAAGCGUGACUCGAACAAGGUCAAAUCUCUUAUUAUUCUGGUCUGAUCACAGCAGAGCUGAAAGUGAGCUGUGCUGUUGGGAUUCACACCUGAUCCAUUGGUUAGUCUGAUGUUCAGCAUUCUCCUCAUCCUGUCCCAACUUAUCAGCAGUGUUUGUUUUGUUCCACUGGCUGAUCCUAUACUAACACUUGGCUGCAGUUGUCUGGCUGUUAAAACCUUGAUGCUUGCUGGCAGGAAAUGCUUACUGUGAUUCUUCUCUUAAACAAGAGAUCGUGGAGGACUGGGGCCCUUGAAACUUUCUCAGGGAGAAGCCAAGCAAUUCUUUCAGAGCACAGUGUGCAAACAGAACAAUUUUGCCUUCUUUAUGGAGAAAUAGUAGGAUCUUCCUGUACUGCUUUUCCAGAACGCUUUCUGUGCUGCCUGUAGGCAUUGCUUUAGCCCACAGUGGAGCUGCAGCCAACCCUGCUUUUGUUACUGUGUGCACAUUAUUUUCUCUCUUUGACAAGCUCUCUCCACAUUUGCAGUGCUUCCUUUGGCCAAUUUCAGCAGUAGGUUGGUGGGUAGCAAGUUCUGGUCUCUGCUUUUAUUUUUCUGAAGUUGGGUUUGAUUCGCUGAGCUAACAAAGCAGUAGCACCAGGUCAACAUCAGUGAUUACACUUUUAUUGUCAUAGCAAUGAUCAAAACAUAUCUGUUAACCCAUCCGCCCCAUGCACUUCCCAGACCCUGUUUAAUACUGCAGUAGUGAAAACUUCAGAAGGUGACAUCAGCUUUUCAAGGUGGUUUUGGAUCUCCUUUUUGGUACCAAAUCUGCAGUGAUGGUCAUCUGCCUUUGGAGGUGGAAGGCAGCAAGGGCACUGUGGGAAUUGAAGGGUUGUGGGCAGUGGGAUUAAAUAGGCCUUUAGCCUUCCUAGCCCUCUCUUGCUAAGGGCAGUGCAACCAAAUAUGAGGUUGAAUGAAAUUUCUGUUAAUUGUGAUGCAAUUAUGUAAUUUAACAAACGAUGCCUGAAGUCUCUCAGAGUGCAGCUAUCUAAGAAGGCCCAGACGGCUUCACAACUGGUGAUGAAGCAGGCUUUAUGAAAUUUUGGAAGCCCUGUGAUGAUGUCCAGGAGCAGAACUGGACUGUUUCAUAACUGUCUGCAUGCCAGAGAAAAUGGGAAGCCAUGUGAGAGUGAUACAAGGGAAGGGUUGGUCUGUUCUGACCCAGCCCUUGUCAUGGGCAC